RNAcentral lists this ribosomal RNA (406 nucleotides) under uncultured bacterium. RNAcentral's name for it is "partial 16S ribosomal RNA". It matches the Rfam family "Bacterial small subunit ribosomal RNA", at positions 29 to 526 of the family's 1533-position model. The record is from RNAcentral.
AUUGAACGCUGGCGGCAGGCCUAACACAUGCAAGUCGAACGAGUGGGAGACGGGUGUGAAAUGUCGGGGAAAGUGCCAGAUGGAGGGGGAAAACUACGGGAAACGGUAGCUAACACCGCAAAACAGCAGAUGCGCCCAGGUGGGAAUUGCUAGUAGGGGGGGUAAUGGCUCACCUAGGCGACGAUCCAUAGCUGGUCUGAGAGGAGGACCAGCCACACUUGAACUGAGACACGGUCCAGACUCCUACGGUAGGCAGCAGUGGGGAAUAUUGCACAAUGGGCGCAAGCCUGAUGCAGCCAUGCCGCGUGUAUGAAGAAGGCCUUCGGGUUGUAAAGUACUUUCAGCGGGGAGGCGUUACCCGCAGAAGAAGCACCGGCUAACUCCGUGCCAGCAGCCGCGGUAAUUC